AGGAAAUAGUUCCGAACAGGUCACUUGUUUUGCCAAGUGUGAAAAGGGAAGCCGGUGAAAAUCCGUCACGGUCCCGCCACUGUGAGCAGCUAGCCCAUUCUCGUUUUUUUACCCACUGUGUCUACGGCAUGGGAAGGGAGAGAAGAGGGUGAUGAUCUGCAAGUCAGGAGACCUGCCUGUUUGGUAUGAUGCAC
Molecule: non-coding RNA, 194 nt
Filed under: Schnuerera ultunensis
Lineage: Bacteria; Bacillati; Bacillota; Tissierellia; Tissierellales; Tepidimicrobiaceae
Source: RNAcentral